Long non-coding RNA from Gallus gallus (chicken), 7026 nucleotides. RefSeq lists it as uncharacterized. The record is from RefSeq and is a predicted model, not a curated record. The transcript has 4 exons. NCBI's taxonomy places the organism in Eukaryota, Metazoa, Chordata, Aves, Galliformes, Phasianidae.
CACACAGUGUGGUUGUUGCUGUUGCAGUAUAAAUACAGGGAACCUUCCCCUCAGACAACCAAUUUUGGCAGGACUGGGACACAGCGCAGAGAUCCCCAAGCUCUCAGAUCAACUGCUCCAUCAUGGCCUGCAUGGAAAAGAAGGAUUUCCCCUCCCUCAGACCUUCUCACCACUGUCCUGGAGGCUCAGGACUGAGCCAAAGCUGGCUGCUGUCCGUCGGAUGGUUCCCCUCAUCUGCAGUUGGGUGUUGGAUCAGAGCCCGUCCCUGAAAAAUCAUAACUGUUAACAGAGGUGUCUGGGAGCGAUCGCAGCAGUGAUGGGAGAUGGAAGAGCACCAGCGGGGGCCUUUGUUACCGCGAGCCAAGGAGGAGUUUGGGAAGAGCCGCUCCAAAUCACCUGAUCUCCUGAUGGAAGAAUUGGAGGGGAGACCAGCAAAGGAAGGAGGUGAGCUGAGAUACCCAUGGGAAGCGCUUUGCUGAUUUGUUUGUUUGUACUUAAUAUGAUAUUCUCAGGGUGACGCUGAUUCAGGUAUAAUGGACUGUCCACAAUGCCAAUGGGUGCUGAGCAUCCAGGUGAGAAUGCAGGGAUUCCUAUUUACCUCCUGUCUCUUCUCUACCUACGAGUUUCUACGGUUUCUCUGCGACUCCAUUGUAAAGAAUGUGCAUCCCUCAGAGAGGCUUCUGCAGAUUAUAAACCCUGGCAACUAAUAAGCUCUGGAGAUGGGCAAGUUUGGAUUCACGUGGGGCUUAGAGACGCCAAUGGAUUGUGGAUGAAGCAUUUGUUGACCGCUGUGUAAUAGGCUCUAUUUUCUCACCUGUAAGGCGUGCCACAAAACCGUGGUUAAACAGACUUCAGAUCUAAGAGUGAGUUUUUUCAGGUUCUUGGGACACAUCUGUUUAGCACCUUGUUUUGCACAGCCCUCGGUGGCUGUUGCUGGUCAACCAAAAAGAAGGGAGAACAGAUUCGUAUCCUGAGUCAUCCCAUGUCCAAGUAUUUGGGGCUCUGAACGUGUCCUGAUGCUUUUCCAAAGUUUUCAAGAGAUCUGAGCUCUCCAUGUGUUGGAAGGAAAUAAAAUAACUCUUUAGAAAUGCUUAUUUCCUUUACUGCGAGUUAGGAAAUUCCCAGGGACAAAAUCUUAUUAGGAUAGAACUAAGUUGGAAGAUAAAUUGAAAUCCUUUGAUUGAAAGUAUUGUUAUUAAAAAGUUUUAAUUAUUGAGAAGAAAAUGUAGGAAAGGCACUCAGAGCUAACAUAAAAAUGAUUGGAAACUGGUAAUUAAAACAAAAUGCUUGAAAAUUAAACAUCCCAAAAUAUGAAACUGCAAACUCGGCUCUGAUUCAUUACAGCGCUUAAAACCUGGGACUGCUGUUCAAGGUUUGGAUGGUGGGUUUGAUUUCCACAGGUCUGUGUCAGUGCUGGAAAGUGGGGCAAUGGCUGCAGCACUUUUCUGUCUGAGACCACCACGUUUCACAUCCUGUCCUUGUUCUCCACGUUCCCAUCUCUCUCCAUAUUCCAUUUAGAUUUCUAAUUGAAAGCAAUUCCUGCCCCGUCCCUGGAGGCAUUCAAGGCCAGGCUGGAUGUGGCUCUGGGCAGCCUGGUCUGGUGGUUGGCGACCCUGCACGUAGCAGGGGGUUGGAACUGGAUGAGCAUUGUGGUCCUGUGCAACCCAGGCCAUUCUGUGAUUCCAUGACUCUGUCUCAGGCAGUAUCUGGCUGCUACGUUCCCUAAAUGUUCUUAAGCCACCGCAGUUCCACUCAUUCAGAUACUUAAUGCCUUCUCAGCACCGAUACUAUUAUUUUCAGUGAAGUAUCCCAGUGUAGAGCACCAAUUUCUGCCCCGCAAUGGUUGCUUUGCUCGGGAGGCAGCCUGUAGAUUUCUACACAGACUUCUCCAGAACGACCUUGGCAUCUCUCAGCAGUGGCUCCACAUUUCCUCGGGAGCCCUUUCUGCAGGCAGCUGGCAUCACACUGCUCCUGCAGUCAGUGAGCUGAUCUGGGGGUGUGUGGUCACCAAAACUCAAUGUGGAAGAGCCCUGCAAAAGGUAGGAAGUGCUAGCACAGUUCUGUUGGCAUUUUUAAUACCAGGAAGGCCAUCAGCGCUCUGCUAAGCAGAGCCAGGCGGGACCCAUCUACCACCUUUCUUACUAACAUAUUCUUUCUUAAAAGCUUUGCAGUUUCUACACUACCAGAGCAGCGAAUGUCACCUUGCUGACUCUUCAGAAGGAAGGAUGGCCUCGUGGUUGCCUGGGGCACAGCUGGGGGACCACCUCAGCCCUACGCAGGGCAGCCAUGCCUCUGCUCUGCUCACCGUGCUCUUUCCCAGGAGAGCAAGCAACCUUAGACUUGGAAGAAGGAGACACAAGGAAGGACCUGUGAAGAGAAGGGAUGAGUCUGGAGGAUAAAUCUAAGCAUCAAAGUUUUGUGAAAAGAGGUGGGGACAAAGGACUGCGCUCAGGUACCCAAAUGUACCGCACUACUUGAAGCAUCCUGAGGUAUGUGAGACAGCAGGCGUGGAUGGCAGAUGUGAGAAGAGACCUGGAGAACACCCAUACUCUUCCAGCAUGGCAAGUCCUCUAGAGGAUCUUGGAUGGACCCCAAGAGCUCUAACCCUCACACAUCAGGUGACAGCUCAGUACUGAAGGUAACCUCUUGUUUGCCUUUCUUCUGAGGCACUUCAGGGCUUCACCACCAACAGCAACAUCUGAUCUGGGGUCCCAAGUGGUCCCCUGGAGGCUCACUGCUCCUCUUCAGGUGCAAGGAUUCAGAGGUACAUCUGUGGUCACUCAGGGACUCCUUCCCUUCAUGUUGGCUCCUGGUUUUUAUUCCUUUCCUCCUGGGAAAGGCAUAGAGGCACCCCUGCCCUUUCCCCCACCCUCGGGGCUGCUUUGGGAUGGCGGGACAUGGUCAGCCUUUCCGGGGUCCGUGUGAAAGAAGUGAAACGGGAACAUGAAGGUGGUAAUGGAGUGGAAGCAAAGCAGGGAAAGCCUUGCUGAUGGAUUAUUAGGCACUGUCAAAGUUUCAACAGAGUGGAAAACUUGGAGGCCAAAGUGAGUAGUAACCCUUGAAAAAUCACCUCUUCCUUUUCCUGUUGGUGGCAGGGCAGCGUGUCCUGAUCAAAGCUACCCAUCACUGCAUGGCCUCAGUCGCACGAUUUACGAGGCGCUGGGGCAGCAGCCCAUUACCAGUCCUGGUAAUUCAUUGCAAGGGCAACAGGAGGUGUAAAUCCCCUCCCCUCCAAACUUAUGCAUUUACCUAAUUGUCUUUCAAUUGCUGGCCAUGGACAUCAGAAGGGUUGGUGUUGUGAACGAUGAGGGCCAUGAGAGGCACGAUGGGAUGGAGCAGGGGCUGAGGGUCUGUCAUGUUCACUGUGGGUGGGAAAGGAAUGACCCGGGAGGCAGACCCUCUUUCCUCUGCACCCAUUAAAUAGCAGAACAUCUCAUUGGCUUUAAUUGCAUUUUCACCUUCCGGAGUUCCUCUUGGCUGUUUCCCUUGGGAUUAGUGCUGGAGAAGGAGCAUGCUUUGUGCUCACAGGGAGACCUCUGUGUUUCUCAGGGCCUGUGAGACACUGUGCUCCACACACCUGGUAGUUCCUAUUGCCAGCAGGGCUCAGAACCGCCAAAGUCAUUGAUGGCAGCAGGCAGCACCAGCUACAGGGAGAUGUGAGGCCCCACUGUGCUUUGGGACCUCAAGAUGUAGUCACCUCUGUGUGUGUAAUAUCCAUCUACAGCUCCUUCUCUUUACUGGUAGUGCUCAGACAUUCUGCCUUCUCUUAUGGUCUUCUGUGACAUUCCUCCAUUCAAAAAAAAAACCACCAAAACUUUGCAAAAAGCAAAUGUUACUGUUCUCCAAACCCACUAAAGCUCGGAUUUGCUCUUCAUUUUCUUUUUUUUUUUUUUUCUGGCUAUUCUAUCCAUUUGCUCUCACUCCCUCUCUGUCUUCACCCCUCCUCAAUCUAUCAGCUCCCCUUCUCAGUUCUCCUUUGCCCUUUCUCACCUUGUCCUCUAUUUUCCCUGCACUACAGUCUUUCUGCUCUUCGAGCUGGGCUCCAGCUGUUUCUUCCUUUCAAAAGGUCCUUUUCCAUUUGCUCUUCCCCGACUUUCUCCUUUUUUUCUGGUGUUCCCUAUGUAAAUUCUCAACUCCGUAAUGUAAGCUAAUAUUUGAUAUCAGAAAACUUCCCCUCAGCUAUAUGAGUACAUUAGAAAUAACUGUGCCUUUAAAAGAAAACUUUAAAUGUGAACUAAACUUUAACUGGAACUAAAUUCUCAUCAGAGGUGUUUGCCUGUAAGGGUAGCAGUUCAGAUAAACAGGCCCUGAAGCAGAAACAGGAGGCUCACCAGCAGUAUUCUUUAAGUGGGAUAAGAUAGAUAAGUGGAGUGGUCUUGAAAAAAGGGGGCAGGGCAUCCACCAGCCACAGAUGGAUGAGGCCCGAGUGCUUCCUGCUCCUCCUUGCAGAGAAAAUGCUGGCCCUGAAAGCAUGACCAGGAAUGAGAAUCUGCAACGAUCCUUAGUUAAAAGAUAAUAGAGAGGGGGGUAAAUGGAGAGAGAGUAAAGUGCAAAUGAGGUGAGACUGGCCUAGCUGGGAGAGAAGGGCAUUGUUGGGGUAAUGGUUUGGAAGGAAAUCGAUGCGAUUUGGGUUCAUAAAUUCUUCUGAAUCUCGAAAAAUGUGGUUCAGGCACUUCAGUGUUGUUUUGGUGCGGAGCUUCACUGCUGGCUAAGAGGACUGAAAGCAGAACUACAGUAACUCCAUGGACUCUUUGUAGUAGGGGAAAGGAAAGUUUAGGACACUUUGCCAUUUCUGACUUACUGGAAAGCAGAUCUCAGGCUCACAUGUAGCUCAUAUUUGUCAUUUUCCCAGAAACGAGCCUGGUAAAUGUUCUUGGAUGUUGCCAUGGGAGUUGUUGCUGCCUCUGGGUUAUGAUUCAUAUCCACCUCUAAAGACACAUGGCUUGUCCUCUCCAAUCAAAAGGGAAGAGGAGGGAUGACAUGAAGUCCUCAAGAAAACACUGAGAAAUGAAACAGGGCUAUGAGACACCAAACCUUUGCUACCGCACAGGAGAGAGGUCCAGCAUGUGAAAGGGCAGAACCUCCAUCGGGUCUUGAAACACAUCUGAAAUCCAUCAGCACCACUGCUCCUGCAGUGCUUUGUUGUCUGAGCCGUAACACAACGUCCUACGGGGAGGGAAAGUCAUCUUAUGGGCAAGGGAAGAGCUAUCUGUGGUUUUAAGAGGUUGGCUGGGAAUUAAGAGAAUACUUUAUGGUGGUUACACUCUGAAUUUAUAGUUUCCUCCUCUUGCUUUUUAAUGUUAUCCUGCCAAAUUACCUAUGGUUUGUCCCGUGACUACAAGCUACCCUGUGGUCUGACAUGUCCCAGCACCACCUGGGACACAUAAAAAAAGUGAAAACCAAGCAAUCUGUCAACAUUUCAGAGAAGAGAAGGGCUACACCACAAAAUGCAGAUUAUUUUCUGAGCCUAAACUCUAAUUCUCCAGGCUCUUGGGUCAGCACUUCAUACAUUUGCCCUCCGUCAUGAUGAGACAGUGGUGGCAUUUAGGUGCAGAUCAGAACUUCCGCACUCCAAAAAUGUGACUUGGGCACCCCGUUUUCAAAAAACCUGUGGCUGCAAAGUUCAGCAAACACCUACAGCCUAUUAAUCUCUCUGUUUCACCACCUAGAGAUCCGAGCCAUUCUGCACACCUCUGUUGUCAAGAGGUAGAAGAAGGUUCGUCAUCAGUUUCAUCAUCGGUAUCUCCCAGAGGUUUAAAGCACAGUCAGGCACCUACUCAGAGCAGACCUCUUUCAGGAGUAAGCAAAACCAGCAUAUUUGUGAGUAUCUGCUAAGGUGAUGUCCCAGCGUGCAUGAAAGAGUCCCGGAGUAUGACCAACUCAUCUUUGUCCAGGUGGCAGAGGAGAAGAGAAAAUCAAGUCUUCUCCAUGGGUGGCACACUUAGCAUGAAUUUUGUUUCAGAAAGUGCUUGUCUACACAUCCUGAGGUCUGCCUAUGCCUGUCUCUCUGUGAAGGUCCUUCCCCAUCUCUCCAUCUCUCUCUAUAUGCAGGUGACCUCUUCUUCAUCUCUGUCUCCACCCAGCAGGGAGCAUGGGAGCUGUGGCUGCCAUGUGUGGGCUUCCAGCAGAGCUGUUCCCUGUCACCCGUGGCCUCACCAUGAGCAGUAAUGCAAACCCAGUGAUGGGAAUGCUCUGCCCUCCUAGGCGCUGUGUCCCAGCAGCUCACCUCGGUGGCCCUAAAACAAUUAGAAGGUUUGAAGUUUCCCAUGCCCCAGUAGAUACAGACAGGACAACUCAUCUGUUAUUGCAGCCCCAGCGCACAGCACUUUGUAAUGCUAAGCAAAUGAUGUGGGGAAUCGUGAACUUGGCAACCCCUCCUUGACCCUUUCCUGAGUGUAGGGUCAUCCCCAAUAUCCGGGAUGGAUGCUGGUUGAGCUCAUGUACCAGCCUCUUUCAACCACAGUGUGGGGAACCCAAGCAUCCCAACCCAAGGCAUGGCCUGCCAACCCAAGCAUUAAACAUUAAUCGUGGUAGGACUUGCGUUGCUCCACCCCUGAAGCAGACAUAGAUUAGGGAUUUGCUCUCCUGAGCUGACCAUGUGAAGUCAGGCCCUGGAAUCCACUCCCUGCAGCUCAGCCGUAUCUCAUUCAUCUCUUUGGUGCUUUGUCUUUCAUCAGAUGGUGCUGCCCUUUGAGCCUUUUUUGAAGUUUUCUUCCUUCUCCUCCUAGGGGAUUGCAGGGGGACCUGGAGGUCACUCAGGUGCUGGAUCCCAGGCUGCAGAUUUGGGGGAAGCCCAGAGGUGGGCAUUCUGGGACACCCAUUGCUAGGGGUCACCCUGUGGGAGGAGAAGCCCUGGCUGUGCCCAGCGGUGCUGAGUGUGAUGCUGCCCUUAAUUCGUGUGGUCGCUCCCAGUCAGCAGCACCUCUCGCAGGGAUUGCAGAGUAGCCAGUGUGCCACGGCUGGAUUGAGCAGACAGAUUUAAUUAAGUUGCGAUUUAAUUACCUAUCAGCAUCCCUAUUUAAUAAA